GUGAACGCUGGCGGUAGGCCUAACCCCUGCAAGUCGAACGGCAGCACCGUAAGAGCUUGCUCUUACGGGUGGCGAGUGGCGGACGGGUGAGGAAUACCUCGGAAUCUACUUUUUCGUGGGGGAUAACGUAGGGAAACUUACCCUAAUACCGCAUACGACCUACGGGUGAAAGCAGGGGAUCUUCGGACCUUGCGCGAUUGAAUGAGCCGAUGUCGGAUUAGCUAGUUGGCGGGGUAAAGGCCCACCAAGGCGACGAUCCGUAGCUGGUCUGAGAGGAUGAUCAGCCACACUGGAACUGAGACACGGUCCAGACUCCUACGGGAGGCAGCAGUGGGGAAUAUUGGACAAUGGGCGCAAGCCUGAUCCAGCCAUACCGCGUGGGUGAAGAAGGCCUUCGGGUUGUAAGGCCCUUUUGUUGGGAAAGAAAAGCAGCAGGUUAAUACCCCGCUGUUCUGACGGUACCCAAAGAAUAAGCACCGGCUAACCUCGUG
Molecule: ribosomal RNA, 491 nt
Filed under: uncultured bacterium
Lineage: Bacteria
Description: partial 16S ribosomal RNA
Rfam family: Bacterial small subunit ribosomal RNA
Source: RNAcentral